GGGUAGUUUGACUGGGGCGGUCUCCUCCCAAAGAGUAACGGAGGAGCACGAAGGUGGGCUAAUCACGGUUGGACAUCGUGAGGUUAGUGCAAUGGCAUAAGCCCGCUUAACUGCGAGAAUGACGGUUCGAGCAGGUGCGAAAGCAGGUCAUAGUGAUCCGGUGGUUCUGUAUGGAAGGGCCAUCGCUCAACGGAUAAAAGGUACUCCGGGGAUAACAGGCUGAUACCGCCCAAGAGUUCAUAUCGACGGCGGUGUUUGGCACCUCGAUGUCGGCUCAUCACAUCCUGGGGCUGAAGUCGGUCCCAAGGGUAUGGCUGUUCGCCAUUUAAAGUGGUACGCGAGCUGGGUUUAGAACGUCGUGAGACAGUUCGGUCCCUAUCUGCCGUGGGCGUUGGAAGAUUGAAGGGGGCUGCUCCUAGUACGAGAGGACCGGAGUGGACGAACCUCUGGUGUUCGGGUUGUGUCGCCAGACGCAUUGCCCGGUAGCUAAGUUCGGAAUUGAUAAGCGCUGAAAGCAUCUAAGCGCGAAGCGAGCCCUGAGAUGAGUCUUCCCUGAUACUUUAAGUAUCCUAAAGGGUUGUUCGAGACUAGAACGUUGAUAGGCAGGGUGUGUAAGCGUUGUGAGGCGUUGAGCUAACCUGUACUAAUUGCCCGUGAG
Molecule: ribosomal RNA, 658 nt
Filed under: Vibrio cholerae
Lineage: Bacteria; Pseudomonadati; Pseudomonadota; Gammaproteobacteria; Vibrionales; Vibrionaceae
Description: partial 23S ribosomal RNA
Rfam family: Bacterial large subunit ribosomal RNA
Source: RNAcentral